RNAcentral lists this ribosomal RNA (755 nucleotides) under uncultured bacterium. RNAcentral's name for it is "bacterial SSU rRNA". It matches the Rfam family "Bacterial small subunit ribosomal RNA", at positions 28 to 776 of the family's 1533-position model. The record is from RNAcentral.
AUUGAACGCUGGCGGCAGGCUUAACACAUGCAAGUCGAGCGGAAACGAUGGUAGCUUGCUACCAGGCGUCGAGCGGCGGACGGGUGAGUAAUACUUAGGAAUCUACCUAGUAGUGGGGGAUAGCUCGGGGAAACUCGAAUUAAUACCGCAUACGACCUACGGGAGAAAGGGGGCAACUUGUUGCUCUCGCUAUUAGAUGAGCCUAAGUCGGAUUAGCUGGAUGGUGGGGUAAAGGCCUACCAUGGCGACGAUCUGUAGCUGGUCUGAGAGGAUGAUCAGCCACACCGGGACUGAGACACGGCCCGGACUCCUACGGGAGGCAGCAGUGGGGAAUAUUGGACAAUGGGGGCAACCCUGAUCCAGCCAUGCCGCGUGUGUGAAGAAGGCCUUUUGGUUGUAAAGCACUUUAAGCAGUGAAGAAGACUCUAUGGUUAAUACCCAUAGACGAUGACAUUAGCUGCAGAAUAAGCACCGGCUAACUCUGUGCCAGCAGCCGCGGUAAUACAGAGGGUGCAAGCGUUAAUCGGAAUUACUGGGCGUAAAGCGAGCGUAGGUGGCUUGAUAAGUCAGAUGUGAAAUCCCCGGGCUUAACCUGGGAACUGCAUCUGAUACUGUUAGGCUAGAAUAGGUGAGAGGAAGGUAGAAUUCCAGGUGUAGCGGUGAAAUGCGUAGAGAUCUGGAGGAAUACCGAUGGCGAAGGCAACCUUCUGGCAUCAUAUUGACACUGAGGUUCGAAAGCGUGGGUAGCAAACAGG